GUAUGAAUAUGUAGGUGGUCCCCCCAUUGACCGCCAGGGUUGCUUUGGCUUAUCUGCCUGGCUAGGUGUGCAUCCCCUUCCUCCCUCCCAGUUCCAUGUGCCUGCCUCCAGAAGCUAUGCCCUCGGUCAAAGAGGACGACCUUCCCUAAUAGAGGAGGACCGUUCUUCAGUCAAAGGUACACGAGUAGCUGCACUCUCCUGCUAGAACCUCCAAACAAGCUUUCAGUGAAUUCUCUCAGGCCCAGUACAGGCAAACACCAAAGCCUGUGACCUCUUGGAGUGGUAGACUAGAACACCCUCA
Unclassified non-coding RNA from Otolemur garnettii (small-eared galago), 301 nucleotides. Its record names the gene 7SK. It matches the Rfam family "7SK RNA". From Rfam's summary of the family: 7SK was discovered as an abundant small nuclear RNA in the mid-70s but a possible function has only recently been suggested. Two independent studies have found that 7SK RNA binds the CDK9/cyclin T complex (known as elongation factor P-TEFb). The record is from Ensembl. NCBI's taxonomy places the organism in Eukaryota, Metazoa, Chordata, Mammalia, Primates, Galagidae.